AGCUAUUAAAGUGUAGCGCAUUGAGAACUUUCUUCAUGCUGUGAUACCUAUUCAAGAAGCAGAAUAGGGUCUGAACUAAUCCAUGAAAGUUGUCAUGCUCUGAGCUCGUCGCCGGCCCUUUUCCCUUUUCAAUCUGGCCUAGAACUAUACUGUACUUCACAGUUCAUUGGCCCUUCAGAUACAAGGACUCAAUAUCCCUGCAGGAAAUAGUCUGUCUCUGUGAACAGUAGUGUUGAACGUGGAAAGACCUUGUACCUCUCCGCCGACAUAAUUAGUCGCUCUUCACAAAUGAGCUUCAAGUUUAGGGGAGAUUUCUUUCUUUCCUUCUCCUCCUCCUCUUCUCCCCUUUUCCAUUUCUUUCCUCCUUUCCGCCUUUCUUCCCCUUUCUGUUUAACUUUCUCAACUUGACUCUGUUUGGCAAAGUUUCCCCAAAUCUUUCUGUCUCCAACUAUUGCAAAGGCAUCCCUUUUCCUCCUCUUUCGUCCCUUUUCUAUACCUGACAUCAAGGAGCUGGAGUGGUCCUGAGUGAAGGCACUAUAUAAACAAGCAUCCGGAUAUUGGCACCCUGUCUUGGGUGGCCCUGCACAGUUUCGCUCGUGACAUCAUUGAGGUGCUCAAGCUCCAGCACCACGACAAAGCAGCGAUCCUUUGCUGGAGGCAGAAGGGGAAUCCGGGUAGUGCCACAUCGCGAGAUGAACCUGAGAGAGAAACCUAGAUCAUGAAUCUGCUGUAAAUUUUACUCCAGACUUUUCUGGAGAAAUAAUGGGAAGAGGGAUUCAGCACCUUGGAUUGUUUGUGAAAGUUCAGACUAAAACCCGGAGCGGAUUUGUUGCCACACGGAGAUGGAAGCUGCCCGCUAUGAUUUGGGGUGAGUGACUUGGACCUGGGAAUUUCCUUGCAAAGUGGGUCUGCAAGGAAAAUAUAUUUCCUUGGAGAAAAGGAGACAUUUAGAUGUAAUAAUAACAGUUUAGCCACCCAGCAGUGAAGUUUGGUGUAACCAAUUGAGCAUGACUUACACAUCUGUGCACUUCUGAGAAAUGUUGUU
Molecule: non-coding RNA, 1045 nt
Organism: Anolis sagrei ordinatus
Lineage: Eukaryota; Metazoa; Chordata; Lepidosauria; Squamata; Anolidae
Source: RefSeq, a predicted model, not a curated record